RNAcentral lists this long non-coding RNA (1370 nucleotides) under Homo sapiens (human). RNAcentral describes it as "HSALNT0309398". The record is from RNAcentral. Lineage: Eukaryota; Metazoa; Chordata; Mammalia; Primates; Hominidae.
GGACUAUCAAGAUGAAAUCAGUCUACUACUCCACAACAGAGCUGGGUUCCUCCAGUGAUCGAAACAUGGCUACCAACAGUCUCCAGAAACACCUCUUCCAACCCGAGGAGUGAGCGUCUCCUCCCCAGCCACUGGGCAGAGUUCUAGGAUUCCCUCUGAUUGGACCAUGUUGAUCAUGUGCCUUUCCUGGGGCUGGGGACUGUCCUACGUUGAUUGGCUUAGAUCUGGCUUAUGCGCUGGUUCCUGAAAUAAACACCGUGUCAAGAGUAGGAUAUACUUGCAGUUUAAUUUAGCCAAACCUGGACCUAUGCUGGAGCUGAGGAUGGAGCAAAUACCAGCAAAACUGCCUAAAUGUUCCCCAGUGCUGUGGGGGUGGAACGGACGCUGAGAAGCUCACCCUAAUAUCCAAUUCACCAUGGAAAAAAGACAGGAAGGAUAUACAGCAAAGUGCCCACGACAGUUAUUUUCAAGUGGUGAUAUUAUGGGGAAUUUUUAUUUUCUUUUUUACGCUUAUCUGUAUUUUACAUUUUUGACAACAAGCAUAUAUUACUUGAAUAACUUCAAAGAGAAAUGAAAGCUAUAAAUAUGAAGAAAAGCUGGUAUAUAACACUAGCAAGUAAUUAACAGCUUGAGGGAUUUAAAGCAGACGUGUUGGCAAACAGGAAACAUGAAUUUUCAGAAUGGUACCAACGGUGCCUUGCAGAAGCUUCCAACUGCCUUUCUCUUGCCCCUGUUAGGCAAUUCCGUCGUUUCUACAGACUUAAUCUGAGAUCUCUGAAGGCUAGUCUGGCUUAAAACUACCAGUUUCAGCGGCUUGCAAUUUUCUCUUAUAUUUGGGUGGGGAAGAUUUUUCAGUUUUCCCUUAGAGACACUUUCCCUUGUGGGGCAUGAUAGUGUGUUCCUCGUUGCAGAAGGACCCCUGUAUGCAGAAGUAGAGGCGCUGGCCUCAGGCUCCUCCACUUCCUCUUGGACAGAAGACGCUGAGCAUUUUUUCAGGAAGUGGUCACCCCAGUGGUCCCCGGCUUUCUCAGACUUCCUGCAGCUCUCUACACAGUGAAUCACAGUGAGACACUGGCAGCAGGCACCACGGAAGGGACCCUCAAAUCUGAAGGCUCAAGGUCCUGGGAAAAGAUGAAGUGGAGCAUGCCUCUUGUUUCCUCCUAUUAGAUGCUGAGUGUUGGAAGUUCUUCCUAGGAUUCACAAAGAAACUCCUGCUCUUCUUCCACAUACUUUUUCCUGGGAAAGAAAACUUGUUUCACUGGCAGAAAAGAUCCCCACUGUUAAAGUGAGGUAAAGAAGAUUCUUGCUUCCUCUUUACGCGUCCGCCAUGAUUGUAAGUUUCCUGAGGCUUCCCCAGCCAUGCUGAACUG